GGGCCGGACUUAAAGACAGUACACACACGGGGGUGUAGGAUGGAUAGUUUGCAGUAGUGGCGACGACGGCGCACAAGCACUACACUCAUUCGAGCCACGACUUUUCCACGUGACACACACAUACCGACAGAGAAACUUUAGGUGCCUGUUGUUUUUCCUAUUUUUUUUUAUACUGUCAGUGCAGUUUUUACCAAGGAAUUAUUAUAAACUACGAUUAAGACUUCGAUUGAUCAAGGCCGUUUUAGACCGGAGUGAGCUAGAAAAAUUGAGAGUUCAGGCGGAUGUCAUCUUCUAACGUUAAAUGCCUUGGUUCGUUCAUCCACGAUCAAAUAAGGUUCGCUGAUGACUACUUCGAAUCUAAAGCAUUGGUUAAGUCGCGGAGAACUCGAUAAAUUAGAAAAUGUCGUCCUCGAAGGUAGAGGAGCGCGACUGCUGGGCGAACAAUCUCCCGACCUCAGAACUAGAGUAUUCCUCAAGGGGUUGCCGAAUUACUUGACGAAAAUCUCACAAAUCCAUGAUGCCGUAAUUCGAGGUUCACUGGCAGAAGUACAACGAAUUGUAGACGGGGAACCAAAGAAGAAGCUAGUUGUUGCCAAAGAUUCAGCUGGUACUCCAUUAAUUCAUAAGGCUGUUUACUACGAUCACCAAAAUGUCGUGGAGUGGAUUGUUGACAAUUACCCCACAACUGUUGAACAAAAGGACAAGGAGGGUCGAACAGCGCUGCACUACUGCGCAGCUUGCAGAGAUCCGGAAGCUGUUUGGGAUAUCCUCAUCGAGGCGGGCUGUGACGCGAGCGUCUGCGACAAGAAAGGCAAUCCAGCUGCUUAUUAUUUGCAACGCGGUGCUGAAAUCGAAUUACCUGAUCCCGAAAAGAUGCUUGGACACCGUGGCAGACGCCGACACACCAAACAUGACAAUCCACAAGCCAAUAGUCUCGACUUUAAACCUUCGAACAUACGAAUAUGGAUCCACAAUCGAGACAUUGGAAAACUACAACAAGUGCUGUGGGAAGGACACGGGGCAAAGUUACGCUGUGAAACGAGCAACAAUGUCCGAGUUAGGCGCUUUCUUGAAGCUGUGCCUUUUAUUAUGGGAACAAUAAAAGACAUUCACGCAGCAACGAUCAAAAACGACAUAGACACUUUUCGGAAAAAAGUGGAAGAUCCAGUAUCCCCUAUUAUUUUAUCGAGCAAAGAUUGCAAUGGCCUUAACGUUUUACAUAAGGCUGCUGGCUUGGGAUACGUUGAACUGGCCAAAGAAAUUUUAGACAAAUAUCCGGCAAUAGUAAGUGCACAGGAUGGUGAUGGUAGAAUUCCUUUGCACUAUGCUGCAGUUUGCAGAGACGGUGGAGUUAUGUUCGAUCUGCUUGUGGAGUAUGGCUCCGAUGAAAGCAAACUGGAUAACCGAGGUAAAGUAGCGGCAUUUUACAAGAAUCGCCCGAUGGACAUUGACUUGUCAAGCUUAGUGACAGUGCCUGAUGCACCGCGAGUAUCGGGCACAAACUAUCCGCGACACUGGGACUGGCGUAUCAUAGACUCGGACCAGCCGUUGCCGCGCAUCAAGCGUACGGGCAACAACGCGGACGACGACAGUGCAUUCGGCAGCGCCGAGUCGGCAAAGCUUACCGAGGAAAUCACCACACCAGAGAUUGAAAACGCGGAAGACGAAAUGAAUGGCAACGAAGAGGAGCCUGAAGCGGAGGAAGGUGAUGCACAAGCCGACGAAGGCGAUGAACAAGCCGAUGAAUGCGAUGCACAAGUCGACGAAGGUGAUGCCGAUGAAAACGAUAAUCCUGCAGAAAAUGAAGAAGAGGUUGUUGCCGUUGCCGAAGAGGGUGAGCUCCAUGACAACAAUAACAACGAAGUGGCUGAGGUCAAGGCCGAACGCGCCGUGACUACCUAUUCCACUAAAUCCGUGCCCGAGUUCGCCGAGCCCACGUCCGAAGUAACCCAGUUCGAGUUAACCGAAGCAGUGUCGUCUUCGAAACCCACGUCUGUUAAAUCGGAAUGUAUUGCUAAAACCGCGUCGGCUAAGACGAAACUCAAUUCCAAAUCCGCGUCCGUUAGAACAGAAUCCACUUCUAAGUCAGUGUCUAUUAAAACAGAGCCCAAUCCCAAGUCCGCAUCUACUAAAACGGAGCUCACGUCCAAUUUUAAGUCCGAAUUUUUUAAAGCAGAGUCCAAUUCGAAGCCCUCGUCUACUGAAACGGAGUUCUCUUCGAAGCCCACGCACGUUAAGACGGGAGUCACCUCAAAGUCCACUUCUGGCAAAAUGAAGCCCAUGUCCAAAAUAGACGAAAACGAAUUUGUUCAAAUGGAGCCCACGCCUGAACUAACUAAAAAGCCUACGUCCCAGCCUUCCGAGAUCGAGUCUAUGGAAUCGGCGGCCACGUCAAAACCCGCCUCUGCUAAUGUGGAUCCCACAUCCGAGCUCUCUGAGAUCGAGUCCGUCGAAUCGGAAGCCACUUCGAAGGCCGCGUCUGCUAACAUGAUACUCGAGAUUCACAAUUAUGCGCCCAAUGAGUUCGAGUCCACUCUUGAAAUGUAUAAAAUAGAUUCCACUGAAAUAGAGCCCACUUCCAAGCGCGCGUCCGCUAAAUCAAAGCCCACUUCAAAGCCCGCGUUCACUAAGGCAGAACCGACGCUUGAGUUCCCCGAAAGCGCGCCCGCAUAUCCCGAGCCCACGCUCAAAGUGGCCGAGGUCAAGACCAAAGCUGAAGAUGAAGUAGAAGUAGAAGUAGGAGCAGGAGCAGGAGCAAAAGUUGAAGUCGAAGCUGGGGUUCAAGGUGGCGAUGAUGCCGAAGCAGAGGACUCGGGCGAAGCACAGGAAAAUCAGAAAGAAAACCAAGAGCACGAGGAAGAGGAAGCUCCGCCAGUCGAGGAAGCUGACAAAGAAACUAGCGAAGCAGAGGUGCCGGUAGAAGAGAGCGAAGCGGCCGACCCCGCGGCCGAAGUCGAGGAGAGCGACGAAGGCGACGACAAGGUUGAACCGAGCACAGCUGACUCUGGCGUCGUCCGCACGCCAAACGAUGAAGAGCAGGCUGACGAAGAGGCGCCAGACGUGCAGCAAGAGGAGGAAGCGCCAGCCGAGGGAGAAGAGGGCAAGGAGGAGGAGGAGGAGGAAGAGGAUGGGAACGAGGAGCAGGCUGCAGCCGACGACGAGGAAGCAGCCGAGCUCGCGGAGAACGGCACGAUGGAGCAGCUGGCGGCGCUCGUGCUGAGCGGCGAGGGCCACCGGCUCGUUAAUCGACACUCGAGCAACCCCGAAUUGCAGGCGUUCAUCGACAACGUGCCCACUUACAUGUCAAAGAUACGCGCCGUGCACCGAGCGGCCAAGGAUGGUAACCUCAAGGAAUUGCAGAUCUCGUUGGAUCGGCGUAAGUUUGCCAUGGCUAAGGACCAGUCGUCGCCGCAUGGUGCCACGCCGCUUCACGUUGCUGUGAUCUUCGGCCAUACAACGAUCGUCAGGUACUUGGCCGGCAGAUUUCCCGAGACGACCCACGCGCUCGACUUGGACGGACGCACUCCCCUGCACUACGCAGCCACGCUCGCCGACAAUGGGCACUAUUAUAAUCUACUACUGCAUCUCGGAGCCAAUCCACUCGUGCAGGAUAACUUCGGCCAGAAAGCGGAAUACUACAAGCACAAUCAGGACGACUUGUCACACAAGCAGCUUUUGCGCGAUUUCGGCGCCCCGGAAUCUCUCGCCGACGAGAUGCUUGUCGAUAAAGUGGCGAACGGGGACACGGCGUCGGCGCGUCGCGACGUCACGGAGCCGGAGACUUUGGCGACGCUGGAACGCUGCUUCAGGCUGCUGACUUCGGGAAUCGGCGGCAACGGCGGCGCUGCCGGGGUGGCAGCUGGUGGCAGGCGGAGCUCGAUGCCGAGUGCGGCGGCCGGCAGCACCAACAGCGGCGCCUCCAAUAACGCCGGUACUUUGCUGGGCCGCUGCUUGCGGCGCCAGGUCUUCGAGAAAAUCAAGCACCGCGUGACCUGCAUGGAUCACAAUCUAUUUGACGUCAUUUGGCCCGCUUUGAAAAAGUACAGCAACGCAUACGCCAGCAACAGCAGCCUCGAGGAGGGCAAUCUUAACUUAGUGCGCGAGCGGAGAUUAUCGGUAUCCUCGUACGACGAAGACUUCACGGGCAACGUAGUGGUGCCAGACUUCGAAAGCUACGUAGUUUUUGCCGAGCUCUUAGACCCAUUGAUUCGAGAUCUUCACUGCGUGACAGCGACCGGUGAAUUACCAGAUCAGCCAGGCCCAUCGUUCUUCUACGACGACGACUACAUUGGAAACACAAGUGCCAGUACCCACAGCGACAAAGUGUCCCGCGAGAACAUCACCUACUUGGAAAGUCGCGAUCUCGACCCGAGCGGCAAGUACAUCAUGGCCGGUGUGAUCGAAUGCACUCGCAACUUCGUCGAUCACCAAUUGCCACUGACUAUGCGCAUUAACGAGCUGGAGGAGACCGAAAGAAUCAUCACGGGUAUACUCAUCGGUCCGGAACUCACCAAUUUGCUGGCUGAGGGUUCAAGCGAAGACGAAGCUGGCACCUAUUAUACCCUCAGCGAAAUAAUGGACCCGUUCAACGAGGUGCGAGCUCAACUGGCGGGUUCGGGCCUGUUGCUGCCGAUCAGCGAGACUGAAAACAGCGACGAGCGCCGGUUGCACGGCAAGCAUUGGCCUUACGGUCGUGGAGUUUACGUGACGUCUUCUGGGGAUCUUGCCAUCUGGGUGAACGUGCAAGACCACGUGCGCCUGAUCUGCUGUAGUAGCGAGUCGAAGCCCGGCUACAUCGGCAAAGCUUACGUGCGCUUGGCAAGGGUGCUUGCAGUUUUCGAUCGUAGCUUCGACUUUAGGCGCGAUCCCAAGCUGGGUUUUCUGACCUCGAGACCGUGCGCUCUUGGCAAUACUCUCAGAUUCGACAUCAUCGUCAAGCUCGCCGGGCUUUCGAAGAAACCGGACGACUUGAAGCACCUGUGCGUCGUAAGAGGUUUGAGGAUUCAUCCGACCUUGAGGAGAGACACCGUGAGGCUGGGCAAUCAGCAGAGUUUGUCCAUCAGCGAGCUGCAGACUUACCAGGACUUCGACAGAGCCGUACUCAAUGUACUCACUUUGGAGAAAGAAUUGGCGCUGAAUAGCUCGUACAAAAUUGCUUCUGUUAUUGCCAACAUCUUCAAGAGAAGACGACUUUCCGGCUCGAGAAGCGUUAGGCCCUAGUAGUAGCUGCAUACUUAUUUACCGAGAAGACUGACUGUUACAACGCUUGUAUACUCACUUGUCAUUCUCUUUUAUCUUGCAAAACAAAAACCCGCCUCAUAGAUUGUUAGCUCUUAAGAUUUUUGUAUUUAACUUAGCGCUUAAGUAAAUCAUCAUUAAGCAAUUAUCAGUUUGCUAAAGCUGCCUGUAAAUGGAGAAUCGCCUCGACCAAAAAAAUAAAAACACGAUCUGUGAUACGUUUAUUUGGCUAAUUAAAAAUAUGCAAGCUAAUCGAAAGUUCGAUCAACGUUAGGGUCAUCAUCAAUUUGGAAAGAUGUGUGAGCUUGUCGUGUGGCGGUUGACGGAUACGUCUCUCUCUCUCUCUCUUUCUCUCUCUCUCUCGACCAAUUGCUUUUUUGGAUCUGAAAAUUUUUCACGACGAGGAAGGACGAUACUUAGUGUCUUCACUCGGCGAUCCAUUAAUAAAAGGUUUAACCGAAGUUGCAACUACAAGACCAAAAGAUCCCGUUACGUAUCUCGCGACUUAUCUG
Phymastichus coffea is the source of this 5750-nucleotide RNA transcript. RefSeq lists it as uncharacterized. Lineage: Eukaryota; Metazoa; Arthropoda; Insecta; Hymenoptera; Eulophidae. The transcript has 17 exons. The record is from RefSeq and is a predicted model, not a curated record.